AAAGAUCGCAGCCUGCGGCAGCUCCUACAGUGGGAAGUGGUAUCACCUCUGUAGGAGCUGCCGCAGGCUGCGAUCUUU
Molecule: unclassified non-coding RNA, 78 nt
Filed under: Pseudomonas helmanticensis
Lineage: Bacteria; Pseudomonadati; Pseudomonadota; Gammaproteobacteria; Pseudomonadales; Pseudomonadaceae
Source: RNAcentral